ACAUGCAAGUCGAGCGGACCGACGGGAGCUUGCUCCCUUAGGUCAGCGGCGGACGGGUGAGUAACACGUGGGUAACCUGCCUGUAAGACUGGGAUAACUCCGGGAAACCGGGGCUAAUACCGGAUGCUUGAUUGAACCGCAUGGUUCAAUCAUAAAAGGUGGCUUUUARCUACCACUURCAGAUGGACCCGCGGCGCAWUARCUAGUUGGUGAGGUAACGGCUCACCAAGGCGACSAUGCGUARCCSACCUGARAGGGUGAUCGGCCACACUGGGACUGARACACGGCCCARACUCCUACGGGAGGCARCARUAGGGAAUCUUCCGCAAUGGACGAAAGUCUGACGGARCAACGCCSCGUGAGUGAUGAAGGUUUUCGGAUCGUAAAACUCUGUUGUUARGGAARAACAAGUACCGUUCGAAUAGGGCGGMACCUUGACGGUACCUAACCAGAAAGCCACGGCUAACUACGUGCCARCAGCCGCGGUAAUACGUARGUGGCAAGCGUUGUCCGGAAUUAUUGGGCGUAAAGCGCGCGCAGGCGGUUUCUUAAGUCUGAUGUGAAAGCCCCCGGCUCAACCGGGGAGGGUCAUUGGAAACUGGGGAACUUGAGUGCAGAAGAGGAGAGUGGAAUUCCACGUGUAGCGGUGAAAUGCGUARARAUGUGGAGGAACACCAGUGGCGAAGGCGACUCUCUGGUCUGUAACUGACGCUGAGGCGCGAAAGCGUGGGGAGCGAACAGGAUUAGAUACCCUGGUAGUCCACGCCGUAAACGAUGAGUGCUAAGUGUUAGAGGGUUUCCGCCCUUUAGUGCUGCAGCAAACGCAUUAAGCACUCCGCCUGGGGAGUACGGUCGCAAGACUGAAACUCAAAGGAAUUGACGGGGGCCCGCACAAGCGG
Molecule: ribosomal RNA, 899 nt
Filed under: Bacillus sp. 158B7_12EMannit
Lineage: Bacteria; Bacillati; Bacillota; Bacilli; Caryophanales; Bacillaceae
Description: partial 16S ribosomal RNA
Rfam family: Bacterial small subunit ribosomal RNA
Source: RNAcentral